Molecule: ribosomal RNA, 242 nt
Filed under: Trebouxia arboricola
Lineage: Eukaryota; Viridiplantae; Chlorophyta; Trebouxiophyceae; Trebouxiales; Trebouxiaceae
Source: RNAcentral
GGCUACUACCCUCAACUAAGUUUCCUAUCAUUGAUAGGGGAUGCCAGUUGGAUCUGGCCGUCCGGUUUGCCUUUCAGGUUGCCGGUCAGCUGAAAUACAUUCACGCUCUGGGGGCUGCUUUCCUCGAAAGGCUACUUUCGAGGGGAGGUGAGUUCCGAUUUGGUAGGUGACCUUUGCCGGUUGCAUGCCUUCGUUGCCCGCUAAGCUUCCCAGUAGUCGUUGUGCAGGACGCCUUUUGGCUU